RNAcentral lists this ribosomal RNA (1231 nucleotides) under metagenome. RNAcentral's name for it is "bacterial LSU rRNA". It matches the Rfam family "Bacterial large subunit ribosomal RNA", at positions 1651 to 2911 of the family's 2925-position model. The record is from RNAcentral.
AAACCGACACAGGUACCCGGGAUGAGAAUUCUAAGGCGCUCGAGUGAUUCAUGACUAAGGAACUAGGCAAAAUAACCCUGUAACUUCGGGAGAAAGGGUUCCCACGUAAGUGGGACGCAGAGAAAUGGUCCAGGCGACUGUUUAACAAAAACACAGGGCUUUGCAAAAUCGUAAGAUGAAGUAUAAGGCCUGACACCUGCCCGAUGCUGGAAGGUUAAGAGGAGAUGUCAACCGUAAGGCGAAGCAUUGAAUUGAAGCCCCAGUAAACGGCGGCCGUAACAAUAACGGUCCUAAGGUAGCGAAAUUCCUUGUCGGGUAAGUUCCGACCUGCACGAAUGGUGUAACGAUCUGGAUACUGUCUCAGUCAUGAGCUCGGUGAAAUUGUAGUAGCGGUGAAGAUGCCGCUUACCCGCAACGGGACGGAAAGACCCCGUGAACCUUUACUGCAACUUUACAUUGAUUUUGGGUAAAUCAUGUGUAGGAUAGGUGGGAGACUACGAAUCGGUGUCGCCAGGCAUCGUGGAGUCGACGUUGAAAUACCACCCUUGAUUUGCUUGGAGUCUAAUCUCGCUUAAGGCGAGAGACAGUGUAUGGUGGGUAGUUUGACUGGGGUGGUCGCCUCCAAAAGAGUAACGGAGGCUUCUAAAGGUACCCUCAGCACGAAUGGUAACCGUGCGUAGAGUGCAUUGGCAUAAGGGUGCUUGACUGUGAGAGAGACAACUCGAGCAGGUACGAAAGUAGAGCAAAGUGAUCCGGUGGUUCCGCAUGGAAGGGCCAUCGCUCAAAGGAUAAAAGGUACUCCGGGGAUAACAGGCUGAUCGCCGCCAAGAGCUCAUAUCGACGCGGCGGUUUGGCACCUCGAUGUCGGCUCGUCACAUCCUGGGGCUGGAGAAGGUCCCAAGGGUUCGGCUGUUCGCCGAUUAAAGUGGCACGCGAGCUGGGUUCAGAACGUCGUGAGACAGUUCGGUCCCUAUCUGUUGUGGGCGUUGGAAAUUUGAGAGGACCUGACUCUAGUACGAGAGGACCGUGUCGGACAUACCUCUGGUGUACCUGUUGUGGCGCCAGCUGCAGCGCAGGGUAGCUACGUAUGGAUGAGAUAAGCGCUGAAAGCAUCUAAGCACGAAGCUCGCCUCAAGAUGAGAUUUCCUUUAAGGGUCGUUGGAGACUACGACGUUGAUAGGCUGCAGGUGUAAAGGUGGUAACAUCAAAGCCGAGCAGUACUAAUUACCCU